RNAcentral lists this ribosomal RNA (253 nucleotides) under uncultured bacterium. RNAcentral's name for it is "partial 16S ribosomal RNA". It matches the Rfam family "Bacterial small subunit ribosomal RNA", at positions 524 to 776 of the family's 1533-position model. The record is from RNAcentral.
UACGUAGGGUGCAAGCGUUGUCCGGAUUUAUUGGGUCUAAAGGGUACGUAGGCGGCCUUUUAAGUCAGUGGUGAAAGGUAGCCGCCCAACGGUUGUUAUGCCAUUGAUACUGGGGGGCUUGAGUGCGACAGGGGACACUGGAAUUUGUGGUGUAGCGGCGAAAUGCAUAGAUACCACAAGGAACACCGAAAGCGAAGGCAGGUGUCUGGGUCGCAACUGACGCUGAGGUACGACAGUGCGGGGAUUAAACAGG